CCUACGGGAGGCAGCAGUGGGGAAUAUUGGGCAAUGGGCGCAAGCCUGACCCAGCAACGCCGCGUGAAGGAAGAAGGCUUUCGGGUUGUAAACUUCUUUUCUCAGGGACGAAGCAAGUGACGGUACCUGAGGAAUAAGCCACGGCUAACUACGUGCCAGCAGCCGCGGUAAUACGUAGGUGGCAAGCGUUAUCCGGAUUUACUGGGUGUAAAGGGCGUGUAGGCGGGAAAGCAAGUCAGAUGUGAAAACCAUGGGCUCAACCUGUGGCCUGCAUUUGAAACUGUUUUUCUUGAGUACUGGAGAGGCAGACGGAAUUCCUAGUGUAGCGGUGAAAUGCGGAGAUAUUAGGAGGAACACCAGUGGCGAAGGCGGUCUGCUGGACAGCAACUGACGCUGAGGCGCGAAAGCGUGGGGAGCAAGCAGGAUUAGAUACCCUUGUAGUC
RNAcentral lists this ribosomal RNA (443 nucleotides) under uncultured bacterium. Its description in RNAcentral is "partial 16S ribosomal RNA". It matches the Rfam family "Bacterial small subunit ribosomal RNA", at positions 338 to 795 of the family's 1533-position model. The record is from RNAcentral.